This 412-nucleotide ribosomal RNA is filed under the name uncultured Rhizophagus. Its description in RNAcentral is "partial 28S ribosomal RNA". The record is from RNAcentral. Lineage: Eukaryota; Fungi; Glomeromycota; Glomeromycetes; Glomerales; Glomeraceae.
GAGAGUUAAACAGUACGUGAAAUUGUUGAAAGGGAAACGAUUGAAGCCAGUCGUACCUUCGGGUAAUCAGCCUUUCGGGUGCGAUUCUGUGGAGUUUGAGGAGCUUAACACCUUCAUGCUUUGCAUAUUCGUGCUCUUGGGUGUACUUGCCCGUGUGGUUGGUUAACAUCAAUUUUGGUGGUCAUAAAAUGACUGGAGGAAUGUAGCUUCGAUCUCGUAUUGAAGUGUUAUAGCCUUCGGUAGAUGUGAUGAUCGAGAUUGAGGAUUGCAACGGAUACCCUUCGGGGCUACCUGUCUGAUCUCUGAUCGUUGUUCUGGUGCCGAAAGCUUGCUUACGGUUAUCAAAGUCGAUGGUCAAUAGGUUAGAACGGGUUAAAUUCGUUAAGGAUGUUGACGUAAUGGCUUUAAACGA